AGAGUUUGAUCCUGGCUCAGGAACGGGUGAGUAACGCGUUGAGCAACCUGCCUACAAGAGGGGGACAAACAGUUGGAAACGACUGCUAAUACCGCAUAAGACCACGCUAUCGCAUGAUAGAGGGGUCAAAGAUUUAUCGCUUGUAGAUGGGCUCGCGUCCCAUUAGGUAGUUGGUGAGGUAACGGCCCACCAAGCCGACGAUGGGUAGCCGACCUGAGAGGGUGAUCGGCCACACUGGAACUGAGACACGGUCCAGACUCCUACGGGAGGCAGCAGUGGGGAAUAUUGGGCAAUGGGGGAAACCCUGACCCAGCAACGCCGCGUGAGGGAAGAAGGUCUUCGGGAUUGUAAACCUCUGUCCUUGGGGACGAAGAAAGUGACGGUACCCAAGGAGGAAGCUCCGGCUAACUACGUGCCAGCAGCCGCGGU
RNAcentral lists this ribosomal RNA (429 nucleotides) under uncultured bacterium. Its description in RNAcentral is "bacterial SSU rRNA". It matches the Rfam family "Bacterial small subunit ribosomal RNA", at positions 80 to 521 of the family's 1533-position model. The record is from RNAcentral.